GCGGCAGUAACUCAAUGGUAGAGUCUCUGAUUUCCAAUCAGAAUGUUGUGGGUUCGAAUCCCAUCUGCCGCUCCA
RNAcentral lists this transfer RNA (75 nucleotides) under Candidatus Cloacimonadota bacterium. Its description in RNAcentral is "tRNA-Gly". It matches the Rfam family "tRNA". Rfam says of the family: Transfer RNA (tRNA) molecules are approximately 80 nucleotides in length. Their secondary structure includes four short double-helical elements and three loops (D, anti-codon, and T loops). The record is from RNAcentral. Lineage: Bacteria; Pseudomonadati; Candidatus Cloacimonadota.